CAUGGCCCUUACGGCCAGGGCUACACACGUGCUACAAUGGUCGGUACAAAGGGUUGCUACACAGCGAUGUGAUGCUAAUCUCAAAAAGCCGAUCGUAGUCCGGAUUGGAGUCUGCAACUCGACUCCAUGAAGUCGGAAUCGCUAGUAAUCGCGGAUCAGAAUGCCGCGGUGAAUACGUUCCCGGGCCUUGUACACACCGCCCGUCACACCAUGGGAGUUUGUUGCACCAGAAGUAGCUAGCCUAACUGCAAAGAGGGCGGUUACCACGGUGUGGCCGAUGACUGGGGUG
RNAcentral lists this ribosomal RNA (289 nucleotides) under Acinetobacter baumannii Canada BC-5. RNAcentral describes it as "partial 16S ribosomal RNA". It matches the Rfam family "Bacterial small subunit ribosomal RNA", at positions 1194 to 1482 of the family's 1533-position model. Lineage: Bacteria; Pseudomonadati; Pseudomonadota; Gammaproteobacteria; Moraxellales; Moraxellaceae. The record is from RNAcentral.